RNAcentral lists this transfer RNA (56 nucleotides) under Camelus bactrianus (Bactrian camel). It matches the Rfam family "tRNA", at positions 1 to 55 of the family's 71-position model. From Rfam's summary of the family: Transfer RNA (tRNA) molecules are approximately 80 nucleotides in length. Their secondary structure includes four short double-helical elements and three loops (D, anti-codon, and T loops). Further hydrogen bonds mediate the characteristic L-shaped molecular structure. tRNAs have two regions of fundamental functional importance: the anti-codon, which is responsible for specific mRNA codon recognition, and the 3' end, to which the tRNAs corresponding amino acid is attached (by aminoacyl-tRNA synthetases). tRNAs cope with the degeneracy of the genetic code in two manners: having more than one tRNA (with a specific anti-codon) for a particular amino acid; and 'wobble' base-pairing, i.e. permitting non-standard base-pairing at the 3rd anti-codon position. Lineage: Eukaryota; Metazoa; Chordata; Mammalia; Artiodactyla; Camelidae. The record is from Rfam by way of RNAcentral. RNAcentral also lists the same sequence under 2 other names.
GAGCGUAUAGCUCAGUGGUAGAGUGUGUGCUUAGCAUGCACAAGAUCUUACGUUCA